RNAcentral lists this ribosomal RNA (467 nucleotides) under uncultured bacterium. RNAcentral's name for it is "bacterial SSU rRNA". It matches the Rfam family "Bacterial small subunit ribosomal RNA", at positions 28 to 507 of the family's 1533-position model. The record is from RNAcentral.
GACGAACGCUGGCGGCGUGCUUAAAACAUGCAAGUCGAACGGACUUCUCAUGAAGCUUGCGAUUGAGAAGUUAGUGGCGGACGGGUGAGUAACGCGUGGGCAACCUGCCCCUGAGCCCGGGAUAACAGUUCGAAAGGACUGCUAAGACCGGAUAUACUUGCGGUGAAGCAUUUCACUGCAAGGAAAGGGAACGCUCAGGGAUGGGCCCGCGUCCCAUUAGCUAGUUGGUGAGGUAACGGCCCACCAAGGCGACGAUGGGUAGCCGGCCUGAGAGGGUGAACGGCCACACUGGGACUGAGACACGGCCCAGACUCCUACGGGAGGCAGCAGUUGGGAAUCUUCGGGCAAUGGGGCGCAAGCCUGACCGAGCAACGCCGCGUGAGUGAUGAAGGUUUUCGGAUUGUAAAGCUCUGUCUUCCGGGACGAUAAUGACGGUACCGGAGGAGGAAGCCACGGCUAACUACGUG